GAUCUGCAUAUAUAUGCUUGUCUCAAAGAUUAAAGCCACUGCAUGUGUAAGUAUUAACUAUUCAGACUGUGAAACUUGCGAAUGGCUCAUUAAACUCAUUAUAGUUUGUUUGAUGUACUCUACUACUGAUAACCGUCGUAUUCUAGACUCCAUACGCUGCAAAAACCACGACUUCUGGAAAGCGAUGCAUUUAUUAGAAUAAAAGAGUCGACCCGGGAGCCUCCCGUUGCUGCGAUGAUCAAUGCAUAAAACUCGACGGAUCGUCCACGGCACUUACAGCGCACGCGCAUCAUUCAAAUUUCUUGCCCUAUCAAACUUUCCGAUUGGUAGGAUAGUGCCUACCAUGGUGGACGGGUGACGGAGAAUUAGGGUUCGAUUCCGGAGAGGAGCCUGAGAAUACGGCUACCAUCCAAGGAAGCAGCGCGCGCAAAUUACCAAUCUGACACGAGGAGUAUGAUCAAAAAUAAAACAAUCCGGCUCGAUCGGUCUGGUAAGUGGAUAGACAUCUAAUACCUUACGAGGAUCCAUUGGAAGGCAAGUUCGGUUGCCAGCAGCCGCUGGUAAUUCCAGCUCCAAUUAGGUAUAUUAAAGUGUAUUCAAAAAGUAAAAAGCUCGUAGUGGACUUUGCUGGGCCGGCGGUCCGCCCCCGGCCGUGAUGCAACCUCUCAUCGUCCCUUCUCUGCCAGCGAUCGCUCCUUGGCCUUAAUUGCCGGUGUCCUCCGCGCUGUUACUUUUGAAGAAAUUAGGCUGCUCAAAGCAAGCUGCUCUGUAUAAUUAGCCAUGGAUAACAUUUAGGAUUUCGGUCCUAUAACGUUGGCCUUCGGAUCGUAAGAGUAAUGAUUAACAAGGGACAGUCGGGCAUCGUUUUCUAGUCAGAAGGCUGAAAAUUCUUGAUUGAUGAAAGGAAACAACUGCGAAGAUUUGCCAAGGAUUAUUAAUCAAGUAACGGAAAGUUGGGGCUCGAAGCGAUCAAUACCGCCUAGUCAUCAACAGAAACGAUUGCGACCAAUGGAUCUGCGGUAUGAUUGCUUUUAGGACUCUCGGCACCUUAUGCAGAAAAUCAAAGUUUGUGGGUCGGGGAGUAUGUCCAGCCAAGACUGAAAACUUAAAGGAAUUAGGUAAGGGCACCACCAGGGGGAGCCUCGGCUUAAAUUUGACUCAACAGCGGGAAAACUUACCAGUCAACAUGUAACGGAUGACAGCUGAAGCUCUUCGAGAUUAUAUGGGUGGUGUGCAUGGCCUUCUUAGUGGUGGUAGCAUUUGUCUGUGUUAAUUUUUACGAACGAGACCUCAGCCUGCUAACUAGACUAUGCGAGAUAUCCCUCCGCGCCAGCUUCUUAGCAGGACUACGAGCCUUUCAAGCCGGUAAAGUUUAAGCUAAUAACAGGUCUGGAUGCCUAGAUUUCUGGACCCGCGCGCAUACACUGAUCGUAUUCAACGAGCAAUAUGCCUUGCGCUGACUAGGCCGUAAAUUGAAAUUCAUGUGAUGGGAUAGGAUUCAUUGCAAUUUUGUUGGUCUUCACGAGAAUUCUAUGUAAGCCGAUAAGUCCAUCACUCGCGUGACUACGUCACCUGCCCCUUGGUACACACGCCCGUCGCUUCUUCCAUUGAAUGAUCGGCAAUAAGUGUAUCGAUCGCGCGACGUGGGCGUUCGCCUGCCGCUGACGUCGCGAAAUCCAACUGAACUCUUAUCUUUAAGGAGAAGUCGCUAACAAGGUUUCCGUAGCGUGAACUGCGAAUCAUUG
Ipomoea nil (Japanese morning glory) is the source of this 1745-nucleotide ribosomal RNA. It matches the Rfam family "Eukaryotic small subunit ribosomal RNA". The record is from Rfam. NCBI's taxonomy places the organism in Eukaryota, Viridiplantae, Streptophyta, Magnoliopsida, Solanales, Convolvulaceae.